Mastomys coucha (southern multimammate mouse) is the source of this 1079-nucleotide long non-coding RNA. RefSeq lists it as uncharacterized. The record is from RefSeq and is a predicted model, not a curated record. Lineage: Eukaryota; Metazoa; Chordata; Mammalia; Rodentia; Muridae. The transcript is spliced from 5 exons.
UGAAAUGUAAAUAAAGAAAAUAUCUAAAAGAAAAAAAGAAAACCAAGAGUGAGGUGUGGUGCCGGGCCAGGUGGAGCUCCUGUGCAAGGCUCUGAAUGUAUACAUUAGAGACCAUUCUUGCCAUCUCCUCCUCGACCUAGGCAAUUCCAGUCUUCUCUCUCAAAAACUCUGUUCCUGAUUCUUUUGUGCAUGACCCUAUCUACUUCGUAAGGUAGCUGAGGUGAUAAGCAAAGUCAAGAGUAUUCUUUCUGCAUGUGUAUUUCACAAGCCUGGGGGUGUCUGCACACACUAGCUGAAGAAACACAGAAUGAUCUCGGAUCCUAUUUCCAGAGUCCUGAACAUUUCGCACAAGCCCUCAGAGGUGAGCCAGCCCAAUGUCGCUGACAUGAUAAACAAGAAUUGCUGGAAGAGAAUAAAUCAAGGCAGAAAACAAUGAACCCAUGAUGUAAUUAAAGUCACUGUGAAAGAACCUAGGAGGGAGGGAAUGAGGGAAGGAAUGAGUCAGCCGCAAAUGUAAGCGAUGGAUCAGGGAGUGUUGUGGGACACAAUUCCUGGCUAUUUCCAGAAAGCCUGGUGCCCCAGUUAAAAGAGCACCUUGAGCCUGAAGCUCAACAUCUGGAAGGAGCCACUCCUGACAUCCUAAUGCCUUUCUGUUGCCACCCCAGGCAGUGGAAGCAGUGCUGGGAGCAGGAAGAAGACAGUCAACGCUGGAACCUUAGAAGAGAAAUGAACAGGUAGAGGAAAUUCCAUGGAACCCAGGGCUCUAAACCACCUGCCUACCUACUGAGAACCACAUGGACUGUACAUGGUAACAUUGCAGAUGUCUUAACUGCCAUCAAGGAUCACCAGUGCUUUGAACUUAAGGGUGGAUCCAGAACUCUGAGGGAAGGACUGGAAACUCAAUAAGACAGAUGGACAUGUCCUCCAGAGACCGUCCAGUUCUGAAUUAAAGAAGGAAACUGCAAAUCUGGAGUAUUUAAAGGUCGUGUGAAAAUCCUGGAACCCUCAAGUUCAGUCUGUUCCCACCUAAAUAACGUGUAUGGAAACCAGGCAAGGCCACCAAACCCUUCUCAUCACUG